GAUGAACGCUGACAGAAUGCUUAACACAUGCAAGUCCACUUGAAUUUGGGUUUUUAACUUAGGUUUGGGUGGCGGACGGGUGAGUAACGCGUAAAGAACUUGCCUCACAGCUAGGGACAACAUUUGGAAACGAAUGCUAAUACCUAAUAUUAUGAUAAUAGGGCAUCCUAUAAUUAUGAAAGCUAUAAGCGCUGUGAGAGAGCUUUGCGUCCCAUUAGCUAGUUGGUGAGGUAACGGCUCACCAAGGCGAUGAUGGGUAGCCGGCCUGAGAGGGUGAUCGGCCACAAGGGGACUGAGACACGGCCCUUACUCCUACGGGAGGCAGCAGUGGGGAAUAUUGGACAAUGGACCGAGAGUCUGAUCCAGCAAUUCUGUGUGCACGAUGAAGUUUUUCGGAAUGUAAAGUGCUUUCAGUUGGGAAGAAACAAAUGACGGUACCAACAGAAGAAGUGACGGCUAAAUACGUG
Molecule: ribosomal RNA, 467 nt
Filed under: uncultured bacterium
Lineage: Bacteria
Description: partial 16S ribosomal RNA
Rfam family: Bacterial small subunit ribosomal RNA
Source: RNAcentral